Molecule: ribosomal RNA, 468 nt
Filed under: uncultured bacterium
Lineage: Bacteria
Description: partial 16S ribosomal RNA
Rfam family: Bacterial small subunit ribosomal RNA
Source: RNAcentral
GACGAACGCUGGCGGCGUGCUUAACACAUGCAAGUCGAACGGAAAGGCCCUGCUUUUGUGGGGUGCUCGAGUGGCGAACGGGUGAGUAACACGUGAGUAACCUGCCCUUGACUUUGGGAUAACUUCAGGAAACUGGGGCUAAUACCGGAUAGGAGCUCCUGCUGCAUGGUGGGGGUUGGAAAGUUUCGGCGGUUGGGGAUGGACUGGCGGCUUAUCAGCUUGUUGGUGGGGUAGUGGCUUACCAAGGCUUUGACGGGUAGCCGGCCUGAGAGGGUGACCGGCCACAUUGGGACUGGGAUACGGCCCAGACUCCUACGGGAGGCAGCGGUGGAGAAUAUUGCACAAUGGGCGGAAGCCUGGUGCAGCAACGCCGCGUGCGGGAUGACGGCCUUCGGGUUGUAAACCGCUUUCGCCUGUGACGAAGCGUGAGUGACGGUAAUGGGUAAAGAAGCACCGGCUAACUACGUG